Molecule: ribosomal RNA, 117 nt
Filed under: Pteropus alecto (black flying fox)
Lineage: Eukaryota; Metazoa; Chordata; Mammalia; Chiroptera; Pteropodidae
Source: RNAcentral
GCCUGUCUAUGCUACCCUGAACAAGCCCGAUCCCAUCUGAUCUCAGAAGCUAAGCAGGGUCGGGCCUGGUUAGUAUUUGGUUGAGAGACCACCUAGGAAGACCAGGUGUUGUAGGCG